AGUGAACGCUGGCGGUAGGCCUAACACAUGCAAGUCGAACGGCAGCACAGUAAGAGCUUGCUCUUACGGGUGGCGAGUGGCGGACGGGUGAGGAAUACAUCGAAAUCUACUUUUUCGUGGGGGAUAACGUAGGGAAACUUACGCUAAUACCGCAUACGACCUACGGGUGAAAGCAGGGGAUCUUCGGACCUUGCGCGAUUGAAUGAGCCGAUGUCGGAUUAGCUAGUUGGCGGGGUAAAGGCCCACCAAGGCGACGAUCCGUAGCUGGUCUGAGAGGAUGAUCAGCCACACUGGAACUGAGACACGGUCCAGACUCCUACGGGAGGCAGCAGUGGGGAAUAUUGGACAAUGGGCGCAAGCCUGAUCCAGCCAUACCGCGUGGGUGAAGAAGGCCUUCGGGUUGUAAAGCCCUUUUGUCGGGAAAGAAAAGCAGCAGGUUAAUACCCCGCUGUUCUGACGGUACCCAAAGAAUAAGCACCGGCUAACUUCGUG
Molecule: ribosomal RNA, 492 nt
Filed under: uncultured bacterium
Lineage: Bacteria
Description: partial 16S ribosomal RNA
Rfam family: Bacterial small subunit ribosomal RNA
Source: RNAcentral